This 406-nucleotide ribosomal RNA is filed under the name uncultured bacterium. RNAcentral's name for it is "partial 16S ribosomal RNA". It matches the Rfam family "Bacterial small subunit ribosomal RNA", at positions 30 to 526 of the family's 1533-position model. The record is from RNAcentral.
AUUGAACGCUGGCGGCAGGCCUAACACAUGCAAGUCGAGCGAGCGGCGGACGGGUGAGUCAUGUCUGUGAACCUGUCUGAUGGAGGGGGAUACCUACUGGAAACGCUAGCUAAUCUCCCAUACCCUCAGACCUGCCCAGAUGGGAUUCGCUUGUGGGUGGGGGAAAGGCCGACCUAGGCGACGAUCCCUAGCUGGUCUGAGAGGAUGACCAGCCACACUGGAACUGAGACACGGUCCAGACUCAUACGGGAGGCAGCAGUGGGGAAUAUUGCACAAUGGGCGCAAGCCUGAUGCAGCCAUGCCGCGUGUGUGAAGAAGGCCUUCGGGUUGUAAAGCACUUUCAGCGGGGAGGCGUUACCAGCAGAAGAAGCACCGGCUAACUCCGUGCCAGCAGCCGCGGUAAUAC